This 95-nucleotide ribosomal RNA is filed under the name Trichobilharzia regenti. Lineage: Eukaryota; Metazoa; Platyhelminthes; Trematoda; Strigeidida; Schistosomatidae. The record is from RNAcentral.
UACGGCGACCAUACCACGUUGAAAGCACCGGUUCUCAUCCGAUCACCGAAGUUAAGUGUACGUCGGUGGUAUAGCGGUUAGGACGCUCGCCGACC